Canis lupus familiaris (dog) is the source of this 736-nucleotide long non-coding RNA. RefSeq lists it as uncharacterized. The transcript has 3 exons. NCBI's taxonomy places the organism in Eukaryota, Metazoa, Chordata, Mammalia, Carnivora, Canidae. The record is from RefSeq and is a predicted model, not a curated record.
AGGACAGCUAAAGCUGUUCUCUCCCGAUCUCUACUCCAGGGCAUUUGCUUGGCUUUCUGAGUGAGCAGAGUUAAGAGCUCCAGAUGCUGCUCCUGGGGUGAACACAGUGACUUUAAUCUCCUGGGAGGCUCAGCUCCAAACACAGUAGUUACUUCAGAGGGCACUGAGAAGGAAGGCAGGUAUAUUUGCGUUAUGCCUGUGGAUCUGUUGCCAAGCACACCGUCUUGCCACUGACACAAGAGCCAGUUUUGCCUGGCAGCACAGACAUCAAAGCUCCCUCAUGGAAAAGCAGCCCCGAAUUUGGAAGAGGCAUUUUAUAAUUUCCAACCAUUUCAUUAUGGCAUUAAGGUGCAUUAAUUGCUUCACAGCCAUGUGGAUAUAGGCUUCCAGUUCCUCUUCAUUAUGGUUAUGAACAGCUGAACUCAGGCUCUGAAGUGCUAUUUUCCCAGUGUUCUCAGGAACAUGAAGACUUUUCAGUGAUCAUGGACAGACGGAUGAAUUGUCGUGGAGCUGCAGGGAGCCAGAAACGACGUGUGCUCUGACUAGAAUCGAAGCAUUUCUUUUUGAACCAAUGGCAGGUCACUUCCGUAGUAAACACAUCGACUGAUGCUAUGUCCCAAAAGAAGUGGCAAAACAAAAUUACUUGACAACUUCAAGUUUUUCAUUUAAUGACUAUCUAUUGUAAACCAGAAAGAAACUUAAACAUUAUAUCCAUAUUAAUAAAGGCAUGUAUUGG